This 1410-nucleotide ribosomal RNA is filed under the name Triticum aestivum (bread wheat). RNAcentral describes it as "partial small subunit ribosomal RNA". Lineage: Eukaryota; Viridiplantae; Streptophyta; Magnoliopsida; Poales; Poaceae. The record is from RNAcentral.
AUGGCAUUGGAAGCAAUAUAUGGGGAUGAUCUGGUUGAAUUCGGCAAAAAAGGAGGGCUUCACUGCUUCCAGAUCUACAUACACUACGACUUGCAUCAUGGCGCUCAAGUGUGCGCUAAGUUUUCUUCUGCCGACGGAGAAUGCCCCCAUGAUGGUACAGAAGACGAUGGUGAUGAGCCAGAGGAAUACUCCUGCACUUGCAACCUUGACUACUUGCCUCCUUUGGUGUUGACAUGCUUGCUUCCACAGUCCUAUCCUAGAAAAGACCCCCCAUAUUUUACAGUCACUGCCAAAUGGAUGGAUGGGUCUCAAGUUUGUCAGAUAUGUGAGAUGCUCGACGACAUCUGGGCACAACUCCCGGGGCAGGAAGUGGUAUAUCAGUGGGUUGAGUGGACCCGCAGUUCGUCGUUGUCGCACCUCUGGAUUGAUGGCAAAAUAAUAUUAGGUCCAGGCAGCCCAGCACACAAAUCAGAUAAUCGUGCUAUCUCAAGAGGUCUCCCAUUGAAUUAUGUAAUCCCUUCGAUGCUCAGCUACAGUAGUAAGAAGCGUCGUAAAGCUUUUCUUGAUGAUCUUCAUAUGUGCCUGAUAUGCCUUACAGAGAGCAAUGGUUCAAACUUCAUCCAGCUGCCAUGCCAGCACUUGUUUUGUGCCACGUGCAUGGAGACCUUCUGCAGGAUACAUGUGAAGGAAGGUACUGUGUUCCAAUUGGUGUGCCCUGGCACCAAGUGCAACGCUUCUAUUCCGCCGUAUCUGCUAAAGAAUCUUCUUAGGGAAGAAGAGUUUGAACGUUGGGAUAGGCUUCUUCUUGACAAAGCAUUGGGCUCAAUGUCAGACGUGGUCUACUGUCCAAGGUGUUCGAUGGCUUGCUUGGCAGAUGAGGAUAAGAACGCGCAAUGUCAAAGUUGUUUCUUUACCUUCUGCUCAGCUUGCAAGGAUCCACGCCAUUUAGGGAGACAGUGUUUAACUCCAGAACAAAAGCUCAAGGCAUCAGGCAAGUUAACUGUGAGGGAGAUGGUGCAGGAGAUGCUGAUGAUCAGAUCGUUAUACAACGAUGCUAGAGCAUGUCCAAACUGCCGAAUGGUCAUUAGCAGAAGUGAAGGGUGCAACAUGAUGUAUUGUGUGAACUGUGGCAAGUCGUUCUGCUUCCGUUGUGGCGAGGCCAUGACUGCUAGCAAUUAUAACCAUUUCAGUAAAUGUGGGCUCUUUGCGCCGCAAAAAAACGACUAUAACACAAAUGAUUUGGAGAAGCGACUGAAAGAGCUAGAAACCGCAGAACGCGUGGCUCAAAUGCAUCCGUUAGGCAGCACCAUCGAAUGCCCGAAAUGCCGUCAGAAAAUUUUCAAGGUAAGGAGACCUGUCUUAUUCAAUCUGCAGCAUGGCAUGAAUCUGCAAGGGAUGACCAAUUUCUAG